UUAUUUCAUAAUGCCGUUUUUCAUUUCCAGAGACUUAUUUCAUAAUACCGAUAGAAGUAAAAAGGCUCUAUCAGAGUCCUGCCUUAUGUUCUCCUGACAAUUGUGACUAUGCUGAGGAGAUUUUGAAACUCUUUGUAACAUAUUUUGCUGCAAUUUAUGGCACUGAAUUUGUCAGCUAUAACAUGCAUUCAUUGAUCCACCUAGCUCAAGAUGCACGAAAAUUCGGCCCGUUAGAUAGUGUUUCAGCUUUUCCCUUUGAGACCUUUUUAGGUUAGCUGAAAAAACUUGUCCGUCGGCCUCAAAAUCCUGUCGAACUACUCGUCAGGCGGAUCCAUAAGAAGCAGAAAGUGGCAAGCCAAAAGACCACAUCCGUUUUCAGCCCACUUAAACUGUACUUUUUCAGGACCGUUGAUUAAUUCAAUUGCAACAUGGGAACAACACAGGCGUUACAAUGAUGGCCAGACACUGAUCUUCUCCUCUCGUGGCGAUGACUAUUUUUCUGUAGGGGGAAGGAUUCUUAUUAUGCGCAACAUUUUGUCCCAUUCUGGAACUGUUAAAGUCCUGUGUAAUUUCUUUGAAACUGCCAAAUCCUUUUUCACCUAUCCAAUGGACUCAUCAUGCCUUGGAAUUCUUUUUGUUUUAAUUUAUCUGAAGACUUGCAGCUGUUACCUGUGGAGGAGUUAAAAAAAAAAUUGUGUUAUUGCCACUCAAGACUGGAUAUGUGGCAUUGCCACUCCUGCACUAAUUUUUUAUUUUUUUUUGUAUGUAUUUUUUUUUCUUUAAGCAUGUUCCCUUUUGCAAUAGUAGACUUUAUGAAUAAUGGAGGAUUGGCAGUUAUACCUACCAAAUGGUUUAUCGGGCCUGAGGAGGAUGAAUGCUACUGGCCACCACCAAGAAUGAACAUGGCAAAGGCGGUCAUAGAGCAACAGGACCCUCACACUGACUGGGAGACAUACAAGUUGACUGUCAAAAGAAAACAACAUAUGAAAUUGCCCGCACAAAAUUAGUCGAGUAUGAAGAGAACACAGAUGUACCAACCGAGUCCGAUUCUACAGAGAAGACGGGAAGGGGGAAGCGCAAAAAGAGGCGAGUGAUUUUGUCCAGUGAGGAUGAGGAUGAUGACAAUUGGUCCGCCAGCUAAAUCAGGCCUACACCUCCAUCCACCCUCAGUGCACCGGCUCCAUCCUCCCUCAGAUCUGUGCUUCCACUUCCACUGCCUCCACCCACCCUGAGGUCUGUGCAGACACCUGCACCACCUCCAUCCACCCUCAGGUCUUCACCUCCAUCUGCUAGGCCGACACUUCCACCACCUGUGGGUAACCUUAGAUGGCCCCAUGUUUCAACCCAUCAUCACGUCACCAGAAACCCCUCGAAGGCAAAUCAGGGAAAACAUGUUUGUUCGCAUCUUAACGCUGCUUGAGGAGAUAAAAGAGACACAAAGAAUCCAGGGGAGGAUGCUACAAACGCUUCUACAACAGCGUGGCAACAUGAGCACCACCGUCUCUUCUACCCCAGAGGGUUUGCCCUUAAAGACAGUUAGGGAUGUGGAAAUCAUGGAAGAAAAACUGUCAAACCCAAACUUCAUGUCCGAACUGGUUGCAGCUGUGACUGACAUAGGGGGGGGGGGACUGUUGACGAGGCCACAAAAAGGAUGAUGACCUUUCUCCUAGAUCAUGGCCUAUCCAGGCAGUAUAACUUUGUGGGCCGAAAUGGGAAGAGAGAGUUCAAGGCCUUAAAACUGUAUGAAGUGAUAUAUGGAGGCUUAAAGAAAAACGGCAUGACCAGCCAAAUCACCCGUAAAGAUGCCGAGAAGGCCGUCUCCAAGUGGCUCAUUGGUGCUAGGGACCGGGGGGGUAAUCGACAGGCCUGACUGGCAACCCCUCAACAAGGACUUCAGGCUUCAGGCUCCUUAGAGGUGGAAAGAAGCUAAUUCUGUCUGUGACAGUAAGGGAACAUUGCAAAAGCAUGUGAUUAAAAAAACGUGAUUAAUUGUAUCACUGGUCUAUAA
Gasterosteus aculeatus aculeatus (three-spined stickleback) is the source of this 2008-nucleotide long non-coding RNA. RefSeq lists it as uncharacterized. The record is from RefSeq and is a predicted model, not a curated record. NCBI's taxonomy places the organism in Eukaryota, Metazoa, Chordata, Actinopteri, Perciformes, Gasterosteidae.